This 271-nucleotide ribosomal RNA is filed under the name Acinetobacter baumannii. RNAcentral's name for it is "partial 23S ribosomal RNA". It matches the Rfam family "Bacterial large subunit ribosomal RNA", at positions 2678 to 2925 of the family's 2925-position model. Lineage: Bacteria; Pseudomonadati; Pseudomonadota; Gammaproteobacteria; Moraxellales; Moraxellaceae. The record is from RNAcentral.
CUAGUACGAGAGGACCAGAGUGGACGAACCUCUGGUGUACCGGUUGUGACGCCAGUCGCAUCGCCGGGUAGCUAUGUUCGGAAGGGAUAACCGCUGAAAGCAUCUAAGCGGGAAGCCUACCUCAAGAUAAGAUUUCCCUAGGACUUUAUGUCCUCUAAAGAGCCGUUCGAGACUAGGACGUUGAUAGGUUGGAUGUGGAAGCAUAGUGAUAUGUGAAGCUGACCAAUACUAAUUGCUCGUGAGGCUUGACUAUACAACACCCAAGCAGUUG